Oryzias latipes (Japanese medaka) is the source of this 311-nucleotide long non-coding RNA. RefSeq lists it as uncharacterized. NCBI's taxonomy places the organism in Eukaryota, Metazoa, Chordata, Actinopteri, Beloniformes, Adrianichthyidae. The record is from RefSeq and is a predicted model, not a curated record.
ACUUAAGGAGAUCCUGAUCCAGCAUUCAUCGCCAGUUAAUUGCCCCUGAUGGACAUUCUGACCACGAGUGGACACCUGAGUCAUCGGAUUACCAGAGCCACAGAACCUCUCGGAACACCAAGAGCCUCCAGCCACGUCUCGAGCCAUCUCUGACCUCCAGCCACGCCACGAGCCAACUCCGAACACCAUCCUCGCCUCAAGCCACAACCGUCAAGCUGCAUUCAGAAACUUCGCCCACUGCUCUCCAGCCUCCAGCCUCUUCAAGAUUUCCAAGCCACCUCAAAUUACAUUAAACCUGACUUACCAACUUA